This is a long non-coding RNA of Episyrphus balteatus (marmalade hoverfly), 1187 nucleotides long. RefSeq lists it as uncharacterized. The transcript is spliced from 3 exons. The record is from RefSeq and is a predicted model, not a curated record. NCBI's taxonomy places the organism in Eukaryota, Metazoa, Arthropoda, Insecta, Diptera, Syrphidae.
AAUCGAAAUCGGAGCUGUUCGGUCGGGUUCCCUACCCUGCAAACCAAACCGCAGUAGUUUAGGGGAAAUUACAACCACCAACAAAGUCUAUACUUUGUAGGUGUAUGUGUUUCCUUAUUUACCAAAAUCUCACCCCUCAAAAUUUUGUAGUUUUGUUUCUCCUGAAAAAAAAAACUCUUUGGUAAAUAAACUCUAUGGUAAUGGAGGAAAAGAGCGCGAUGUAUGCAAUGCAGAAAGUUUUGUCUCUUUUGUAAUGGCGGCGUGCCAUUGAUUUGACUUUUCCUGCAUUUUAUAUUUUCUAGUGAAACCUUGAUAGCCACAGCAACAUAUUAGUUAAGAAAAAAAACAUUUAUGUGCUCCAUUUGAUAGAUAAAUAGAACAAUUUAACUUAAAAAAAUAAAUAAUCUUUUCAGUGUUAUUUGUGAAAACUAUUUUGUAAAAAAACAAUCUACCGCACAAAUUCUUUGGCACGCCACAUAAAUUCCACCACCAUUUCCACCAUCAAAAUGCACAGCCUCAGCCUUGUGCAUUUAGAAAAAAAAUCAUACAAAAAUGACACAAAAACCACCACCAAUUGAUUUGGAAAAUAAAGUGGAGAUCAAUUCCAGACAUCAAUGACUGAGUUUACAGUUCAAAAGGUUCCUCCACGCUAUCCAGAACGAGUGAAAUGAAUCUUAUGUUUAAUAGAGACUUCAAUACUUGAGUGUGAUCCACAUUCCACAGGCUUGUAGUGGGUGCACCCUCCGAUGUUGAUGUGUUCGCUCUAAUCCUAGACAAAAACAACAUUCAACAAUUCUAUAUCGGGUAUAAAAAUGACGUCAGAGACUCCUUGCUCGCCACAGUAUUGGAUACAGUCCCUUCGAGUGACAAUCAAGAUGUGCACGUUCGUAUUACAAACACAUUGCGAGGCAUGCAUUUUGUUCCCCUCAACAGUUGUGUGGAUAGAUAUGAUUUUAGAGAAUUUCAACGCCAACAUUUCUCUGAGUGGUCUUAAGUAAAGUGUCACAUAAGACGUAUGUUUUGAUAUUAUAUAAUUCGACUGAAUAAAUCUAAAUCUCUAACCAAAGUUUCAACUUCAGAGUUUAUUUGUAAUUUCAUGUGUAAUUUCAAAAGGUUUAGAUUCACAAGGAACUAACUACUUCUUUUACGUACAAAUUUCACCACAUAAUUACGUACUUCCAGAUUCG